GAUGAAUAUUUCUGUGCCAGUUCUACUUUGUGAAGGAGGGACGCAGAAGGGUAUGCGCGCAGACGAACGGAAGAGUCUGUAGAAGCAUGUAGAGUGACUUGGUAGGCAAAUCCGCCAGGUUAGACUUAAGGUGUGACAUAUACUCGCAAGAGGAAUGCGCAAAUCCCACGCUGCCGAGAAAAGCUUCUAGCGGUAAAGUAGAGACUGCCCGUACUGGAAACCGACACAGGUGGUCAGGAUGAGAAAUCUAAAGCG
RNAcentral lists this ribosomal RNA (255 nucleotides) under Fusobacterium necrophorum. Its description in RNAcentral is "partial 23S ribosomal RNA". It matches the Rfam family "Bacterial large subunit ribosomal RNA", at positions 1428 to 1688 of the family's 2925-position model. Lineage: Bacteria; Fusobacteriati; Fusobacteriota; Fusobacteriia; Fusobacteriales; Fusobacteriaceae. The record is from RNAcentral.